AAACGGUUAUUAUUUCUACCUAAGACUCAGGUGUUUACCUUAAAUGCUUAUUUAUAAGCGGCCCGCCGAGGAGAAAGUUUGUACGGUUUUUAGCAGACUCUCAAUCGGCGUUGUGUCCUUAGGCACAGCGUUUUUUAUUUAGGAGA
Molecule: regulatory RNA element, 146 nt
Rfam family: Ribosomal protein L10 leader
About the family: This family is a putative r-protein leader autoregulatory structure found in B. subtilis and other low-GC Gram-positive bacteria. It is located in the 5' untranslated regions of mRNAs encoding ribosomal proteins L10 and L12 (rplJ-rplL). A Rho-independent transcription terminator structure that is probably involved in regulation is included at the 3' end.
Source: Rfam